GUUCUGUCAAUUAGUUCUACCACAGUCUAGUCAAUUCUACCUAGCUCCAGCCCACUUUUGUGUUAGGCCUGUGGAUACCCAUAACAAGAAAAUCAGUGACUAUUUUCUCUGGAGACUAAAUGUCAAGCCAGGGAACCAAGAAUGAACUGGGAUCUGCUGACAGUAAUGUUGAGAUCCUGGCCAUCACGUCCUUUUGCUGUCCUUGUCUAUUUGCUAUCAAAAUGGAGUGGAGAAAAAUGAAGGGAUGCCCUGUGGAUCACCGAGGUACCAAAUAUCUUCUUCCCUGCUCUACCGUGGUGGAGCAGCCUACCUCCUCCUAACUUCCUACUAAGGUUGUGUUUCCUUGCCUUGCUUGCUGGUCUCUUGGAAAGGACCUUGAAGGGACUGGGUGACAGCCAUACCUUAAAGUUUAGUAAAACUCUGUCUGUGUCUGUCCCCUUAUAGAAGUAUUCCUCCUUUGGGAAACAAGACCUCCAGUUUUGAUCCAAUCACAAUAUGGGCCUUCUAUAUUUUUUCUUGAUCAAUUUCAGGCAGGUCCAAGAUUAUUUUAAAAUUGCAAGUCUAAUGAAAGCAAGAAAUGGAAAUUAAUUAAGGAAACUCUAGAAUCUAGUCGGUGGUGGUGUAGGUGAUUCAGCAAGAAGAAGCCGGAGAUCUGGCUCUGCCACCUACUGUCAGUGUGAGUAUGGACGAGUUACUAAACCUUGGUUUAGUCCAUUACUAAACAGAGUCCACACUAUUUACUUAACAGGAUUAUUGUAAGAAUGAAAUUAGGUAAUUGCAUAAAAGAGGCUACACGGUAGAGACAUUCAAUACAACAAUGCUGGGCCCUUCCAUUUUGCUUCCUAAAACGACCCAGGGAUUUCUCAGCUUGUUAUUCAGCUUCAUCUAUUCUCCCCUGUAGCUCUUCCUUUCUUAAUUAUGAUCCAGAGUGACCUCUGGAAAAGAUAACCUAGGAAACCACAAAACAAAUAUAGGAGUGUUUAAAUUUUCUUAGUAAUAAAAAUAGCCAGAGUGACUGGUCUUUCUCAAGAGUCCUUGAUGCAUGACUAAGAGAAUUUUGAAAUGCCUUUUAAGUUUUCCUACUAGGGAUACAGAUCAGAUAUUUUCCCAGCAUCCCACUAUUUUUUUUUUAUUUUUACAAGUUUUAUUGAAGUAUAGUUGAUUUACAGAUGGUGAUAUUUUCUGUUAUAUAGCAAAGUGAUUCAGUUACACACAUACACAUAUCCACUCUUUCUCCAAUUCUUUUCCCAUAUAGGUUAUCACAGAAUAUUGGGUAGAGUUCCCUGUGCUAUACAGUAAGUCCCCAUUGACCAUCCAUUCCAUAUACAAUAGUGUACACAAGUCAAUACCAAAUGCCCAGUCCCAUUCCUUCCCCCUCCCCCAGCGACCCACUUCUCUCUUCCAGAGAAGCAGGCCCUUUCUCAGGAUUUUCCAAGCCUUCUUUAUGCAACUAUCUUUGGAGAUGAACUAAUCUCCUUAUAGUGCUGAAACUUGAUUUGCAUACAUUUCCAUAAUGAGGGCCAUGAUGACAGUGAAGGCAUAGAUGUGUAGAUUCAUAUAUACAUAAUAAAGGGUUGCUUGUUGAAGAUAGAGCAAAAGUGAGAGUGAGAAAUCUAGAAAGCUACUGUAAGGGGUUGGCUGGGAGAGAAGGGGGAAAGAGGAAGCUCUAGGUGCUGAGGAGUUUUCUAUGUUGAUGGAAUAGGUAGUGUAAACUGGUGAUGCAACUGACACUACCUAGUGGUUAAGAACAUUGGCCUUGAGAUUAUAUCCCAGCUUUGCUCUACACCUAGGCACACCUCUGAAACUUUCUAUGCUUUGAUUUCCUCAUCUAUAAAAUGGACACAAUGUUAGUACUGGCUUUAUAGAGUUGCUAAGAUGAGUAAAUGAGAUGAUGAAUUGUUAAGUGCUUUGCAUGUUGCCAAGCACAAGGUGAGUAUUCAUUACAUGGAAGCUAUUGUUCUUUGUUAAUGGAACUUNUUUUGUUAAUGGAACUUUUUUUUGCCUUCCAAAAAAAAAAAAAAAAAAAAAAAAA
Molecule: long non-coding RNA, 2032 nt
Filed under: Sus scrofa (pig)
Lineage: Eukaryota; Metazoa; Chordata; Mammalia; Artiodactyla; Suidae
Description: lncRNA (ENSSSCG00055019963.1)
Source: RNAcentral